ACAAGCUAAAAGAUACAAAGGGAAAAGUGUGACUGCUCUGACAGCAAAAACAAGCAACUAUCUCCAGAGGGGAUUAAUCCCUCUGCUUCAAAGUAACCAAAACAAAGAAAGCUGAGCCAGCUUCACGGGGAAACAACACCUGUCCAUCAGACAAGGAUGAGCUCAU
This is a non-coding RNA of Tupaia belangeri (northern tree shrew), 166 nucleotides long. NCBI's taxonomy places the organism in Eukaryota, Metazoa, Chordata, Mammalia, Scandentia, Tupaiidae. The record is from Rfam.